Molecule: long non-coding RNA, 1672 nt
Filed under: Sarcophilus harrisii (Tasmanian devil)
Lineage: Eukaryota; Metazoa; Chordata; Mammalia; Dasyuromorphia; Dasyuridae
Description: lncRNA (ENSSHAG00000026489.1)
Source: RNAcentral
GUCGCUUACCUGGCCCGUCCCCGCCUCCGGUACCCUCUGAACUCUCCUUCUCCCUUCCUUCUUUCCUGCUCCCGCCGCUCCUCCCCCAGCUGUGCGCACGCUCACUGCCGCUCUCUCCUCCGCUUCCUUCCCGCGUGCCUCUCCCGUCAAGCAGCCCCGCCCGAGAGCGUCCCGUGCCCGCGCUCGGUCCGUGGGACGCCCCGGGCCCGCGCACUGUCAGUGGCCCGCGCUCGGUCUGUGGGACGCCCCGGGCCCGCGCACUGUCAGUGGCCCACGCACGGUCCGUGGGACCGGCCCGGACGUCCGUGGCCCGCGCACGGUCCGUGGGACGCCCCGGGCCCGCGCACUGUCCGUGGCCCACGCGACGGUCGUGUGGACGUCCCGGCCCACGACGUCUAUGGAACGCCCCGGGCCCACGUUCGGUCCGUGGGACGCCCCGGGCCCACGCACUAUCUGUGGCCCGUGCACGGUCCGUGGGACGUCCCGGGCCCACGUACAGUCUAUGGAACGCCCCGGGCCCACGUUCGGUCCGUGGGACGCCCCGGGCCCGCGCACUGUCAGUGGCCCGCGCUCGGUCUGUGGGACGCCCCGGGCCCGCGCACUGUCAGUGGCCCACGCACGGUCCGUGGGACGCCCCGGGCCCGCGCACUGUCCGUGGCCCGCGCACUGUCCGUGACGUCCCGGGCCCACGUACAGUCUAUGGAACGCCCCGGGCCCACGUUCGGUCCGUGGGACGCCCCGGGCCCACGCACUGUCUAUGGAACGCCCCGAGCCCGCGUUCGCUCUGUGGGACGCCCCGGGCCCGCGUUCGCUCUGUGGGACGCCCCGGGCCCACGUACAGUCUAUGGAACGCCCCGAGCCCACGUUCGCUCUGUUGAACGCCCCGGGCCCACGUACUAUUUACGUCCCGGCCUUCUGGGCCUCAGAGCCGGCGGCCGGGAACAGCAGAGAAGGUGGACGCCACCUGCUGGACAUAAUUGGAACUGGGAAAGAGUUCCAGAGGAUUAUAUGAGAUUUCUGUGAAAUGCAAUUGGGACAUUCAUGAGGGAACUCUGGAUGUUGGUUCCAAGUUUGUGCUACAGGCUCUGCCCUUCUCUUAUCAUAGGAUCAUGGAUUUAAGGCCUUUAGAGAUGAGCUAAUCCAAUUCCCUGGUUUUGCAAAUGAGGAAACUGAGGCACAGAGGUCACAUGAGUGUUUCAAAUGAGCAUUCAGACCCAGGUCCUCAGACUAGCUGCAGCUCAGGAGGUAGGCUGGGACUCAGAGCACAAAACAAACCCCCAAACUCUUAAUAACAUGGAGUGCUUCUUCCAUCAGCUGGGACUCAGAGCACAAAACAAAACAAACCCCAAAACUCUUAAUAUCAUGCAGUGCUUCUUCCAUCACAGCCCUAACAAUGAUUUUCAUCAUCUCUGUUCCCUCCCCCCCAUUUUCCCCCACCCCCUGAGAGAGAGACUGACUGACUAGUAAUGAGUGGAAUGAAUGACACUUUUAAGUCUUCUUAUUCCAAAUCCAAUGUUCCUUCCCUUACAAUCACUCUACCUCUGCCAAUGAAUUGGUAGUCAUUUAUUCAUCCUAAAGUGGUCCAAAUAAGCUUCCUAAUGCACAGGCCAGCCUACGACGCUUCCCUGAUUAAAAACCUUCAGGGAGAAGAAGUGAACAUGUUUCACAUAGA